AGCGAACGCUGGCGGCAUGCCUAACACAUGCAAGUCGAACGAGAUCUUCGGGUCUAGUGGCGCACGGGUGCGUAACGCGUGGGAAUCUGCCCUUUGGUUCGGAAUAACAGUUGGGAACGACUGCUAAUACCGGAUGAUGACGAAAGUCCAAGGAUUUAUCGCCAGAGGAUGAGCCCGCGUAGGAUUAGCUAGUUGGUGUGGUAAAGGCGCACCAAGGCGACGAUCCUUAGCUGGUCUGAGAGGAUGAUCAGCCACACUGGGACUGAGACACGGCCCAGACUCCUACGGGAGGCAGCAGUGGGGAAUAUUGGACAAUGGGCGAAAGCCUGAUCCAGCAAUGCCGCGUGAGUGAUGAAGGCCUUAGGGUUGUAAAGCUCUUUUACCCGGGAUGAUAAUGACAGUACCGGGAGAAUAAGCUCCGGCUAACUCCGUGCCAGCAGCCGCCGUAA
RNAcentral lists this ribosomal RNA (449 nucleotides) under uncultured bacterium. RNAcentral's name for it is "partial 16S ribosomal RNA". It matches the Rfam family "Bacterial small subunit ribosomal RNA", at positions 29 to 523 of the family's 1533-position model. The record is from RNAcentral.